UACGGCCGUAUCACGUUGAAACACCAGUUCUCGUAAGAUCACUGAAAUUAAUCAACGUCGAGCCUGGUCAGUAGCUAGAUGGAGAACCGCUUGUGACUAUCAGGUGCUGUAAG
This is a non-coding RNA of Acanthosepion pharaonis, 113 nucleotides long. The record is from the annotation of a GenBank genome assembly. NCBI's taxonomy places the organism in Eukaryota, Metazoa, Mollusca, Cephalopoda, Sepiida, Sepiidae.